Molecule: non-coding RNA, 4747 nt
Organism: Xyrichtys novacula (pearly razorfish)
Lineage: Eukaryota; Metazoa; Chordata; Actinopteri; Labriformes; Labridae
Source: the annotation of a GenBank genome assembly
AACAUUUCAUUUCACAUUUAGUGGAGUUUUUUUUGUUUGUUUUUGAUUUUUUGACAACCAUUUUUUUUUAAAUUGAUAAAAUGGAGUGAUAAAUAAUGUUUUGUUUGUCUGUUAACUUGAUAUUGGCACAAGCUGAAAAGUAGGGUUGUGUGAGGGUUGCACAUUUUUGCCCAUAAUCUACAAAUAAUGACAAACAACAAAAGUCUUUCAAAAAUCUGCAUACAGUAACUAAAGACUAAACUUGAUUUAAAAUCCCAUCUGAUCCAAGCUGAUAUGAUAUGAUGCGAUACGGUACAGUACCACACGAUACGGUACAGUAUGAUAUUAUACAGUACAAUAUGAUACGAUAUGGUAGGAUGUGAUACAAUACGGUACGGUAUGAUACAAUACGGUAGGAUAUGAUACGGUACGGUACGAUAUCAUAUGAUAUGAUACCGUUUGGUACGAUACGGUACGGUAUGAUACAAGCUGGUACGAUAUGUAUGAUACGAUAUGAAAUGAUUUGAUAUGACAUUUUACAGAAUGGUACAAAGCAAUAUGAUAUGAAAUGGUAUAAUCUAAUAGAAUAUGAUACACAGAAUGGCUAUCAGUGACUGUCAAUAACUUAACACUUAGUAUUUCCCAUGAUAAUAUCACUGUAAAAAACAGAAAAAUAGGAAUAUUAAUUGCAUUAGUUUUGUUAAUCUCUUUUGAAUCUGUCUCUUUCUUCAAAGUCAUACAAACAAAUACAAGUGGCUUACCUCAAAUGCCCCAAAGAGCUGAAGAAAGGCAGGAGAGGAACAAUAAAAUUAAGAUACAACAGCUCCAUCUGAGAUAAGUAUGGUCAAGUUUGGUCUUUAAGCUUUGACAUACUAACUCCUCUUUGUCAAAUCCAAUAAAAUAUUUCACUCUGGACUCUGAGAGAAAAUGACAGACCUUCCACAGCGCAUAUUUGGUUUGUUAUCCAAAUCCAUUCAUUGAAAGAGGUUGGAUGUGAUUGGGUGUUUUACUUUUUUAAAUAAUGCAGAAUAAGACUUGUGUGACUACUGCAGUUAUCAACAUGUUGUCUAGAGUGCAAGGAUAAUCAGCAUGCUGCUACCAAUGAGAGAAAGACUCUUUCUCACUCAGACCACACUGGAUAUCAUGCAGUGCUGCUAAAUGUUACUUCAGUGAGCACCAGUUUGCUUACAAGUCUUCUGUGCUUGUGUGACUGUCCACAGCUAACUGGACUGGCCUGUCAGGAUGGUGAGAGGCUGUCACCGUCACUGUGGCAUCACUGAGGAAACAUACAUUAGCUUAUGCUGGCUAGCAAGUCCUCCUAAUGUGUGAAAUUGCUCAUGUAGUUCAAAAACACCGCUCGGACAUCUGCCUGAUCAGGACAACAAGGUUUUUCAGAGACAGGGUGCAGGUCACCAUGUUGAGAUGCAGAGGCUGUAGGGUACAUAAACGACACUACAGUGGAUUCAUGACAGAGUAUUUAAAGGUAGAAACGUGGAUUAUGGGUAGAUGAUUAAAUAUCACAGAAGUAACUUAAUGCCAACUUUGGGUAUGUGUGUGAAUAAUUACUUUUCUCCACUUCAUUUAAAAGACCAAUAUCUUACUUCCCACCACUCUAUAUUUGUGUGAAUGUUCUCUCAAACUGUGCUUGUGCGGAUCUGUGCCAAGUUCCCACUGAGCAAUAAACUGCUAUUAGACGUCUAGUUUUUUUAAGAACUAAUUUCAACCAUCUAGAUUUUGUAUAUAUUUAGACAGAAUUUAGACGUUGCACUUUAACCCAUUAUUCCAUAACUAUCUACUUCAAAAAGCAACUGUGAGUUGCAUAACUGAUCUCCAAGUACUGAACCAAAAUAAUUAUGAUAGUUGUUGAGCAAUAAACAGUGUAGUAUAGAUAUAGCCCAGAUUUAGACUUGGUCUAAAUUUAGACGUCUAAAAAACGUUCAUUUUUAGACCUGUGGUAGCCUGAUUUUAGACCAGUCGUCCAGGCUCUAUUUAGACGUCUAUUAGACCUUUUUUAGACCAAAAAAUGCUCAGCGGGUUAAUGAUGUUGCCACACACCAGUAGGUCUACAUCACUUGUCUCGUUGGUUGAAUGUAGAGCGAAUGUGGAACACUAAAUGAUCAUACAGUUCAUUUAGUGGUGGUAACGAUGGCUACAGCAGAGAAGGAUAGGCCUUCUCCACUUGCUAUUUAUAUUUUAUAAUUGUCUGUUCUUGUUAUUUUAGAGCUGCAAAUGUGGAAAAUUUUUAACACUUUAGUUAAAAAUGUAAAUAAACAUAACAUAGCAAAGGGUGACCAUACGUCCUGUUUUACCCGGACAUGUCCCCUUUUUGGGGGGCCGUACGGGCUUGUCCGGGGGAGUUUGUAAAAUCCUUCAAAUGUCCGCGGUUUUGUACGAGAGUUGCGAUUUUGUGUCACAUGGACUUACUGAGUUAGAAGCACGUAAAAGACACUUGAUCCGACCCGAAAUACUAUCAAAAUUAACUUUGUGCAACUGUGUGACUCCGCCCCCUCGUAGUUGUGUCUACUUUUUGGGAAGUCAGAAUAUAAUCACCCUAACAUAGCAGAAUGUACACCCAUGUAUUCUUGACACUUGUAUUCUUGUGCAUUGGAAAAAUGCAAUUAUAUUUCAGAGUAUUCAAGUACUUUGAUGGAGCAACUAUCUCUUGUUUUGGAGCAACAUCUGACCUGAAGUAUCUAUACUUUGACUCAAUGCUAAUGCUGAUGGUGUUCAUAUGAAAUGGGCUAGCAGUAGACAGGGCCAGUGUUGUGCAUAAUCCUGGUGAGCUAAAUGUCAAUAAUGGAUGAACUUUAUAAUUCAGUUUUUGGUCUUUGUUCGUAUGUACUUGUUUUCUUUAGCCUAGCAGGGCUGCAGUUUUAUCCCCCUGUGGAAGCUUACAGAAAAAUAACGUCAGGCUAAUUUGCUGCGUUUGGGGUCAAUUAUAAAUUUGAUUGCAGUUCCUUCACAUUGGUUGUAUCUGUAAGCUCAAAUAUGUUGGUUACAGAUCUAAAGUUAUUCUGCCAGCUCAUCUUCCAGUAGUUUCAUGCACUGCGAGGAAGCUGAAUCCAGAGGCCUGAUGGGAUUGCGACUGGGUGGGGCAGCUGUAUGACUGUGCAGGGGUUGAGGGCACACAGAAGGCAGAGUCUGCUCAGCUGAGAGCAAUGUCUCACCAAGGUACCAGAAUUUCUUCAUUAACGAAGACACACAGACAUCAGAGGAUGGGGUGGGGGUUUGGGGAGGACGAGGGGGCGGUCUGCAAACACACCUCCCUGACUUGCUGUUCCAGACUUGACAACUUGUUUUUUGGCAGCGGCCCCUCGUAAAUCAGCCGCAAGACCCUGCACAAUGUGACUCAUCGUCAUAAUCGAGGUGUUUGCGGAGGCCGCUUCGCCCUUCUGUCUUCUUCCGUAAGACUGCUUGGUGUCUGAUUCCUGGAAACAGAGGAGGAAUAUGUGAGGGGACAUCAGGGCAAACAUAGACCGAGGAAUUAGAAAAGAAGUUUGACUUCAGCUCCUUAACACCGUUCGAUUCAUUUCUUCCCACCUAACAUAUGAAAUCUGUGGUUUAGGUGUGCUUAAUGCUGACUCUAAAACCCGAUACACCCAAAAGUACUCACCAUGAGGUAAUAGUGACCCAGCCCAAUAUGUGCAUCUGUUGUUUAUAGUGUCCGUCCUCCACACCUGGGUGCUGGGCACACUCUGUAAAGCGUAUUUGUUACACACACUUCCAGAGGAGGAGAGGAGGCCGGAGUCUGCAAAGUCAAACUCCAAUUGUCAAUUAGUGAAGGCCAACACGGGCUGCAGGCUGAGGUGUACAGAGCAGAUCAACCGUCCUGGAGGACAAAGACUUCAGUCAGUUCAGGGACUUCAGGUUAACACACACACACACACACACACACACACACUCAAAUGCAUACACACACAGACAUAAGUGAGAGGGGUGAGAUGACCCGGGGCUCAGCAGGACCUGUUUAUCACUGCAGACUUAGCAAAGACCAUCAGCAAACAUCCUCCCCAUCAAGUCUGGAAAACUCCUCAUAAACACACACACACACACACACACACACACACACACACACACACACACACACACACACACACACACACACACACACAAACCCACAUACACUCACAUUACAACUUAAAAGCCAAAUAGCUCUUUUAUUUCCUGUUUUUGAUAUUGAUCAUAUUGUUCUUGACUGUAAAAGGUUUAGUCAAAUAAAUAAUUAGCUUUUUUAAAAAUAGCCCAAGACUUCACCCAGUGUACUUCAUCAGGUACUGACAGUCAGCUCAACAGAAUCAAAUUACAUUUAAGUUAUAACUCAUUAAAAAUACCAGUUGUUCCAAUAAUUAAAGUAUGAGAAUAUCACAAAUGAGGAAUUAUCAUAUUCAAAAAACAACCCAAAUUCCCAAUUUGUGAUACAAACAGAAUUUAAAACCUAUAACCUAUAUUUGAUACAGAGACAGCAUAUUAAAUGUUGAACUUGAAAAAGUUGUUUCACGAAAAUUUGAUAUUUGAUGCUCGCAACACCAAAAUGUUUCAAAAUCUAAGGAUUUUAUCAUCUACAGCACAAAAUAUCAGUAAAAGACUCUGAAAGUCUGGAGGAAUCUCUGCACACAAGGCACUAAUCCAAAAUCAAUACUGGAUGGCUGUGAUCAUUAAGGCCCUCAGGCAGCACUGUAUUAAAAACAGACAAAACACUUAAGUACAAAAUCUCCAUAGGAUCAAAAUCACUUACAAAAACCACUGACUGACCUAAACUGCAAUCCCA